GAUGAACGCUGGCGGUAUGCUUAACACAUGCAAGUCGAACGGAGUACUUCGGUACUUAGUGGCGGACGGGUGAGUAACGCGUGAGAAUCUGCCUUCAGGUUCGGGACAACCACUGGAAACGGUGGCUAAUACCGAAUGUGCAGCGAUGUGAAAAAUUUAUUGCCUGAAGAUGAGCUCGCGUCUGAUUAGCUAGUAGGUGUGGUAAGAGCGCACCUAGGCGACGAUCAGUAGCUGGUCUGAGAGGAUGAUCAGCCACACUGGGACUGAGACACGGCCCAGACUCCUACGGGAGGCAGCAGUGGGGAAUUUUCCGCAAUGGGCGAAAGCCUGACGGAGCAAUACCGCGUGAGGGAGGAAGGCUCUUGGGUUGUAAACCUCUUUUCUCAAGGAAGAAAAAAAUGACGGUACUUGAGGAAUAAGCAUCGGCUAACUCCGUGCCAGCAGCCGCGGUAAUACGGAGGAUGCAAGCGUUAUCCGGAAUGAUUGGGCGUAAAGCGUCCGCAGGUGGCUGUGUAAGUCUGCUGUUAAAUAGUGAGGCUCAACCUCAUAAAGGCAGUGGAAACUACACGGCUAGAGUGCGUUCGGGGCAGAGGGAAUUCCUGGUGUACCGGUGAAAUGCGUAGAGAUCAGGAAGAACACCGGUGGCGAAAGCGCUCUGCUAGGCCGCAACUGACACUGAGGGACGAAAGCUAGGGGAGCGAAUGGGAUUAGAUACCCCAGUAGUCCUAGCCGUAAACGAUGGAUACUAGGCGUGGCUUGUAUCGACCCGAGCCGUGCCGUAGCUAACG
RNAcentral lists this ribosomal RNA (788 nucleotides) under Tolypothrix sp. Es_Yyyy200. Its description in RNAcentral is "bacterial SSU rRNA". It matches the Rfam family "Bacterial small subunit ribosomal RNA", at positions 28 to 857 of the family's 1533-position model. The record is from RNAcentral. Lineage: Bacteria; Bacillati; Cyanobacteriota; Cyanophyceae; Nostocales; Tolypothrichaceae.